GUCGAAUCAGGUAGGGAUACCGGCUGAACUUAACCAUAUCGUUAACCGAAGGAA
RNAcentral lists this ribosomal RNA (54 nucleotides) under Penicillium commune. Its description in RNAcentral is "partial 28S ribosomal RNA". Lineage: Eukaryota; Fungi; Ascomycota; Eurotiomycetes; Eurotiales; Aspergillaceae. The record is from RNAcentral.